AUAAUUUUACCUUCAUCCCCAGCACUCCCCUAACUGAUGUGUGAUCUCUCAUCAAAGUAUGAGAAUCACCCCAUCAAGCUGGUUUGACCUAACGACUGCUUGCCAUAGCCGCAAGGUGGCCUUCCCCGUAUUACAGAACAUCUGCAUCCAAUCCCUUUAAAAACUCUCUGUGCUUCGCUUCCUCCCUCCCACAGACAGUGGCUGAGAACAGACUUUGUACUUUGUGCUGGGUGGGAUGUCUAAGUCAUAGACUUUAACCUCCAAGAGCUUACGUACUGGUCAGGAAGUUGGCGCAUGUGCUGAAACACAAUAAUUCAGAAAUCUGAAAACAAGGGGGAUACUAGCCUCACAGACAGCAGCAUUAAAUGCUAGAGGCUUCAGGAGAUGGAGAGCUACUUUCUGGCCACAGUAAAUCAAGGAAAGCUUCUAGGAAGAGGUCACACCUGAGCUGUUCCUGGCAGUAUGGGCUGGACUUCAGAGAGGGCAGCAAACAGGUAUUCUGGCCCAUGGGCCCAAUGAGACUGAGACAAAGAAGGAGGGCAGUUUAACGACCAGCAAAUAGUCACAUGGGGUUUGGGCAAAAGAAUACUUUCUUUUUUUAGAAAGGAUCCUUGUUGAAAGAACUUUACAAAGUACUAGCAAGUUUAGUAGCAGGAAUAACUAAUUAUCUGCCUAAGCCCAACUACACAGUAGAAAGAUGUAUUUGUUUAACCACCUAACCCAACUGUGAAGAGAAUGGGGUGGGGGGGGACGGAGUAGAAGGAGCCCUGAAAAUCAGAAAACCUGGGUCCGAGGCCCAGCUUUGCUAACGAAGGGCUCCAGCAGCCACAGCAAGUCAUUUAACCUCGUUGGUCUCAGUUUUCUCAUUUGUAAGCUGAAGCAGCUGAACUGGCUGACCUGGAAGGUCUCUGCAGUCCAGAACUAAACGAACUGUAUAUUAUUUCUGCCAUUAAAACAUUCAUCGUGGGGGGUGGAGGGAAAGUCAGGUAACAUAUUCCCUUUCCAUGCAGGUUUCUGUUCUUGAACUAAAAAUUUCUUUUUCCUGAACUUACUAAUUCUAUGUAUAUGCUUCCCAUGUCAUAAAUUUAAAAUAACCUAAAUAAUGUUCUGUGUGUGUGUGCGUGUGUGCACGCACGCGCUCCUCGAGGCCUAAAAUUUUGUUUAUGGCUCACAGGUUAUCCAAGAAAGUUGUGCGGUACAGCCUUAGCUUUGUAGGAGUGUAACCAAUACCGCAGCGCCAGGAGAAAAUACCUCUGUAUAAGCCACAAAAUGUUGACAGAGGCGCCCUGCUCCCGGAAAGACACCAAACCCAGAAACCACGGAUGCGAUUUCACUCCAGCCCUAUUGAUCUUAGGCACCAAAAGGCGAACAAACCCGGCACGCUGUUGAAGCGAAACAGGCUGGAUCAAAAAACUGCUGCUGUAGCAGCAGCCACCCACCCGAAGUUUAUGAUAGAGAAGAAAACAGCAAAGUUAACAAAAUGCCUAACUUUACACAGGGAAUCAUAACACAGUUAUUAGGUUUACUUUGUAAGCAGCAUAUACCGGUGUACACAACUUAAACACCUUCCCGAAAAGGGCAGAAGAGCACCAGGACGCCGGCGGGCAGCCUCCUCCAGAGCGGCGGGGGGGAAACCUGGAGAGACUCCCCUUAUGCCGCUGUGCGCCAGCGACGAAGUGAAGCUUUGUGCUGCGCCUGUGGGUCCAGCCCCGCCUCGGUUACCCCACCGCCAGCCCCCGUACCUCCAGCGGUUGUACUGCCAGCGCCCGCAGGUCCACUCUGCAGCUACCUCGCUGCGCUCUCCUGCGGCGCUCAGGCCACUGCGCAUGCCCGGCCAGCACCUAGGGCCAACAAACUCGGAAUCCACUUGCCGGGUUUUGGCAGCAGCUCCCAAGGAAAAGGACCGGAUCCUUGAGGGUGGGUUCAGCUGGAGCGUGCAGGGAGCGGCCAGGGGGACUAUUGGAUGAGCGAUGCGGAAACGUUACCCCUGCUGCCCAGGUACGCAACAUUUACGCCUCUCCCAGCCUAAAG
This is a long non-coding RNA of Phyllostomus discolor (pale spear-nosed bat), 2031 nucleotides long. RefSeq lists it as uncharacterized. The record is from RefSeq and is a predicted model, not a curated record. NCBI's taxonomy places the organism in Eukaryota, Metazoa, Chordata, Mammalia, Chiroptera, Phyllostomidae. The transcript is spliced from 2 exons.